CAAAACACAGAAGUGGUCAUGGUGGCUGGAUUAACCCUAUGAAUGAAACACGUGUGAGGUUUAUCGUUCUUGCCUCCUGCAAAGAGACCUGAAUUUUAGAGACCAGUCAUGAAUUUCUGGGGUAUGUAAUGGUUAGACAGUGGCUUAGAGGUUUGAAAUUCACAGUAGUAGUUGGAAAGGCUCUUCUGUGGUAAAAACAAAACAGCAAAAAGUUACAGUUGCAAGUGAAAU
Pelobates cultripes (western spadefoot toad) is the source of this 231-nucleotide non-coding RNA. NCBI's taxonomy places the organism in Eukaryota, Metazoa, Chordata, Amphibia, Anura, Pelobatidae. The record is from the annotation of a GenBank genome assembly.